Molecule: long non-coding RNA, 1362 nt
Organism: Ailuropoda melanoleuca (giant panda)
Lineage: Eukaryota; Metazoa; Chordata; Mammalia; Carnivora; Ursidae
Exons: 3
Source: RefSeq, a predicted model, not a curated record
CAGGAGACUGAAAGGCACAAAUGGGGAACUUUAGACAAACUGACAAAAAAAAAAGUCACGGAUGCUUCUGGUAGCAUACAGGAAAUCCUGUUUUGAAUCAAAGAAUUUUGCUGGGCUGCCCCAGGACAAUGCUCUGCCAGCAUCCCCGACCCUCUCUCCUGACACCUCUGCUCAAGUUGUGGUUUGGCCCUGGAGGUCUACGCUGGCCAGGAACAGCCUGAACUGAACUUCAGAUAAUGAGAAAGUUCCGUGUUUGCCUGAGGCAUGACAAGUCAUUCAACAGAAUCUCAUACUGGUACAUACCGCUCUUCUUCCAUCAGGAAGUGUUAUCUAGGCUGGUUAUUACUGCUUUCAGUAACAGGAUACGGUAGAAGUGACAUUGUGCCAGCUCUGGGCCCUGACCUUGAAGGUACUGAUAGCUUUCCUUCCUACUCCUGGAGCCCUGAGUGCCAUGGAAGAAAUCUAGACUACUUCACUGGGGAGAGGCCAUGUGGAAGAGGCAAAGAGACACCAGACAUGUGUGAAGAAGCCCUGUUAAAUGUCCAAUCCACUGAAGCCUUUACAUAAUUCUAGCCCCUGACUCCACUUGACUGAAUGAGAUCAGAAACUAUAACUGCCAAGUUCAGCUCAUUCAACUCACAGAAUCAUAAAUGUCAAUAAAUUGUUUAAGUCUCUCAGUUUUGGAUCGGUCUGUUCCAUAGCAACAGAUAACUAAAUUAUGAUCAUUCAUUUUAAUGCAGUAAUUCUGAGAAUCUAGAAAAAAUUCUGAAAUAUGGACCAAGAUUCAUGAACAAAGAUAUUUAGUGUAUCAUUGAUGACCGCUAUCAAAAAGUAGAAACAUAGUACAAUAGUCAAGUAAACUGUAUAUAUACUCUAUUACGUAGCCAUUUAAUGCCUAAGAAGAGCUUUUAAUAUCAUAAGAAGCUUAAAACAUAUGUAUUAAAAAAAGGGAAAGAAAGAAAAGAAACUGAGUUCCCUAAAUUAUAAACACUCUAUGAUCACUUAAUCAACAAAUAUAGAGAGAUGACUGAAAGUAAAUUGGCUAAAAUAUUAGCAUUUUUAAUUGAGUGGUAGGUAUGGUAUAAUUGUUAUUGUCCUCUUUAUACUUCUCUGGAUUUUCUAAAUUUUCUACAGCGGUCAUUUUUUUUUUUAUUUUUCUGAUCAUAAAAGUAACACAUGCCUAUUUUAAGAAAAAAAAUUCAAAAGGUCAUAAAAAUAAAGUGAGUCAACCCAAGCCCACUUUGUAGGAGAUAACCACUGUCAACAUUUUGUCAUUAACAUUUAGGAGUUCCUCUGUACAUUUCCAUGUGUAAAUGCAUUUUAAAACAGGCAACAAUACUGUACAUGCUGCCUUAUAUUCUG